This 1438-nucleotide ribosomal RNA is filed under the name Salmonella enterica subsp. enterica serovar Agona. RNAcentral describes it as "partial 16S ribosomal RNA". It matches the Rfam family "Bacterial small subunit ribosomal RNA". Lineage: Bacteria; Pseudomonadati; Pseudomonadota; Gammaproteobacteria; Enterobacterales; Enterobacteriaceae. The record is from RNAcentral. RNAcentral also lists the same sequence under 1 other name.
GUAAUGUCUGGGAAACUGCCUGAUGGAGGGGGAUAACUACUGGAAACGGUGGCUAAUACCGCAUAACGUCGCAAGACCAAAGAGGGGGACCUUCGGGCCUCUUGCCAUCAGAUGUGCCCAGAUGGGAUUAGCUUGUUGGUGAGGUAACGGCUCACCAAGGCGACGAUCCCUAGCUGGUCUGAGAGGAUGACCAGCCACACUGGAACUGAGACACGGUCCAGACUCCUACGGGAGGCAGCAGUGGGGAAUAUUGCACAAUGGGCGCAAGCCUGAUGCAGCCAUGCCGCGUGUAUGAAGAAGGCCUUCGGGUUGUAAAGUACUUUCAGCGGGGAGGAAGGUGUUGUGGUUAAUAACCGCAGCAAUUGACGUUACCCGCAGAAGAAGCACCGGCUAACUCCGUGCCAGCAGCCGCGGUAAUACGGAGGGUGCAAGCGUUAAUCGGAAUUACUGGGCGUAAAGCGCACGCAGGCGGUCUGUCAAGUCGGAUGUGAAAUCCCCGGGCUCAACCUGGGAACUGCAUUCGAAACUGGCAGGCUUGAGUCUUGUAGAGGGGGGUAGAAUUCCAGGUGUAGCGGUGAAAUGCGUAGAGAUCUGGAGGAAUACCGGUGGCGAAGGCGGCCCCCUGGACAAAGACUGACGCUCAGGUGCGAAAGCGUGGGGAGCAAACAGGAUUAGAUACCCUGGUAGUCCACGCCGUAAACGAUGUCUACUUGGAGGUUGUGCCCUUGAGGCGUGGCUUCCGGAGCUAACGCGUUAAGUAGACCGCCUGGGGAGUACGGCCGCAAGGUUAAAACUCAAAUGAAUUGACGGGGGCCCGCACAAGCGGUGGAGCAUGUGGUUUAAUUCGAUGCAACGCGAAGAACCUUACCUGGUCUUGACAUCCACGGAAGUUUUCAGAGAUGAGAAUGUGCCUUCGGGAACCGUGAGACAGGUGCUGCAUGGCUGUCGUCAGCUCGUGUUGUGAAAUGUUGGGUUAAGUCCCGCAACGAGCGCAACCCUUAUCCUUUGUUGCCAGCGAUUCGGUCGGGAACUCAAAGGAGACUGCCAGUGAUAAACUGGAGGAAGGUGGGGAUGACGUCAAGUCAUCAUGGCCCUUACGACCAGGGCUACACACGUGCUACAAUGGCGCAUACAAAGAGAAGCGACCUCGCGAGAGCAAGCGGACCUCAUAAAGUGCGUCGUAGUCCGGAUUGGAGUCUGCAACUCGACUCCAUGAAGUCGGAAUCGCUAGUAAUCGUGGAUCAGAAUGCCACGGUGAAUACGUUCCCGGGCCUUGUACACACCGCCCGUCACACCAUGGGAGUGGGUUGCAAAAGAAGUAGGUAGCUUAACCUUCGGGAGGGCGCUUACCACUUUGUGAUUCAUGACUGGGGUGAAGUCGUAACAAGGUAACCGUAGGGGAACCUGCGGUUGGAUCACCUCCUUACCUUAAAGAAGC